Camelina sativa (false flax) is the source of this 2906-nucleotide RNA transcript. It is a transcript of the gene named sister chromatid cohesion 1 protein 2, with no coding region annotated. NCBI's taxonomy places the organism in Eukaryota, Viridiplantae, Streptophyta, Magnoliopsida, Brassicales, Brassicaceae. The record is from RefSeq and is a predicted model, not a curated record.
UUGACCGUUUCUUUUAUUUUCUUCUCUUCUCCUCGAUUUCUUACUUUUUCUCUCCCUCCUUGCUUCGCUUCAGUGUUUACGAAGCUAUUGCUUCCUCUGAGCUCUCUCUCUCUCUCUCUCUCUUAUUAAUAACCCAACCUUUAGUUUAGUGUUAAAAAAAACACAGAAUCUGGGAGAGUAAAAGGGAUCAAAAGACCAAAAAUGUUUUACUCGCAAUGUCUCGUGUCUAGAAAUGGACCUUUAGGAGCUAUUUGGGUCGCUGCGUAUUUCUUCAAGAAGCUUAAGAAAGCUCAAGUCAAAGCUACUCAUAUACCUUCCUCCGUUGAUCAGAUCUUGCAAAAAGAGUUAGAUGCGUUGACAUACAGGGUUUUAGCGUAUCUUCUUCUGGGUGUUGUAAGGAUAUAUUCCAAGAAGGUGGACUUUUUGUUCGAUGAUUGCAACAAAGCUUUGAUCGGUGUAAAAGAGUUUGUGGCUAAGGAGAAGAACAGAGAAAAGACAGCCGUGCCAUUGCCUGCAUCUACUGCGUGUUUUUCCAUUGUUUUGCCUGAGAGUUUCGAACUAGAUGCUUUUGAGUUUGAUCUUGGGAUUCUGGAAGAUUUUCAUGGGGGAAAUGUUAAGCCGCAGGAAGAUAUUACACUGAAAGAUGGAAGUCAGGAAACAGAGAGCAUGAACAUGUACUCGAUGGAAAGGUUUGACAUGGAUGAUGACCUCAUGUUUACGUUUCAUGAAACUUUCUCUGCCAAUCAGAAUGAAACCAAGCAUGAGAGUUUCGCUCAUGAUAUGGACAUGGACGCAGAAAAUGUCAGAGAUACUACUGAAGAAGCAUCAGUCAGAGUCACAGAAGCGGAACCACUGGAUGAUUCUAGAGAUCAUGAGAAUGCAUCUAGGCAAAGAGGGGAUCCAGAAUCAGAUGAUAUUAAUGUGGAACCGCAAAUGUCUGAAGAUAUAAGAAAAGCUCAAGAAGAACAUACAGUUAGAGAAACCAUAUGUACCAUUGUGCGGGGACUAGUGGAUCCUCAUGGAAUCUUAGGCGAUAAUCUACACAGAGAUGGGCACGCGGAGAGUUCAGAAUCGGAGAAAACCUCAGUGGAAACAAGUUGCCCAAUGAAGCAGCAGAGAGGGUCCCUCCUUUCUGAAUGCGAAAGUCCUGAAGCGAUUCACGGAAUUGAGGAGCAACCUUCUGGUGCCAGAAGAAUCGAUGGGGAGAAAGAGAUCCCGGCAAUUAGUACUAUGGAAGAACCAGUGUGUGUGACUGGUUCCAGAGACUUGCCAGAAGGCAUAGAGAAAUGUCGAGGCAGUAGUGAAGCGGAAAUGAUGAAAUUUGAGUUGUCUCAUGGGUCUCGUAAAGAGCAAUCUGAGACUCCUGAAGAGAAUCUCAAUGGUUCUGAGAAAGAUUUUCUCUCUGACAUGACUGUUUCAAAAGACCCCAGUAGAGGGUUUAAUGCAACAGAUAUGCCAGUUGCUGUCACUCCAAUAACACCUUUGCCGUUGAAAAAAUCUGGAGGGGAAACAAGCCCUCAGUUCUCGAUCAUUCCUACUCCGGCUGCAAAGGAGUCUUCUCGGGUUUCACGGAAGAGAAAAUGUCUGAUAGAUGAUGAAGUGAUUAUUUCGAACAAAGUUAUGAAGGAAAUGAUAGAGGACUCAAGUAAAUUGCUUUCAAAACGGAGAAACGUAUCUCAUACUGACUGUCCUGAGAGGAGAACCAAACGUUUUGCUGCACGAAGUUUCUUGAACCCUUUGAUUCAGUAUGAUUCUGUGGAACUCCAGUCGCUUUUUUGUCAGCCCAUCAAGCUUAAAAACUGGGCAACGACAGGGUUCCCUAAAGAUGAUAAAAUUGCCAGACGUAGGGAAAAUUCUUCUCGUUUAACUGUCAGAAUUACUGGGGAUAUUUUAUCUUCUGAUCAGACUCAGAAUGCUCAAGAAAUUAUGGAGACUCCUCAGGCUUCUGCUCUUUCUGGGCUGAAAGUGACAGUAGGAAAUAUUAAAGAGGUUCCGGUUGAGAUGGAAGCUAGUUCCUCAGCUUCUGGAAGUGCUCAUCAAACAGAAAAUGCCGCAGAGACAACAGUGAAGCAUUCAGUUAUUGCUCCAGAAACACCAGUGAGGACAUCAGAGCACACAGGGAUUGCUCCAGAAACACCAGUAGUCUUCGAGCAAGUAGAGAUUGCACCUGAAACGCCGGUGAGGGAAUCAAUGUCGGCAAGAUAUUUCAAGGACCCUGAGACCUGUUAUAAAGACACCAGACCUGCAAGCCCCUUCACUUCCUUGAAUGAGCACCCGUCUGUGUAUUGUGUGGAAAACAGAGAUCUUGAUACGAUUUUAAUAAACGACGAGCAGGUGAAUGCAGAUGACAGACAGGACUUGCAACAAGAUGUUUGUUUUUGUUGCAUGUCCGUCAUCGUGAUGUCUUCUUACUAUGGAUGUUUUGAUUUGCAGAGACAUGGUCAGCAAGAACAAGGAAUGUGGCGAAAUUCUUGGAAAAGACUUUUACGGAGCAGAGGGAAAGAGAAGAAGACGAGAAGGUGAGUUUGUUGCAACUGUGUAGAGGAAGAAUACAGAAGGAAAGUGCAAGACUCUUCUACGAUACUUUGGUGUUGAAGACCAAAGGGUACUUGGAAGUGAAGCAAGAUAGUCCAUAUAGUGAUGUUCUUCUCACGCCAUUCACUAGACAACAAAAAGCUUGUUGAAAAUGAACAUUUUCUUUACUUAGAAUUCCUCAGAUUCCUUCAGUUAGGUUUCUGACUAAUGUUGUUAGCUUUUAGUAUCUUUUAACAAAGUAGCUAGUUUUGAGUUGUUCUUUCAAGUUAUUUUUAGUAAGAAUAAUUGACGAUCUAAAGUAGACAAUGUAGACUAGUCUAAAUCUGACCUUUAAACUACUUUUCAUUUUUCUCGUAUGAUUUAUUACGUUC